This 162-nucleotide ribosomal RNA is filed under the name Rochefortia sp. REI-2014. RNAcentral describes it as "5.8S ribosomal RNA". It matches the Rfam family "5.8S ribosomal RNA". Rfam says of the family: 5.8S ribosomal RNA (5.8S rRNA) is a component of the large subunit of the eukaryotic ribosome. Lineage: Eukaryota; Viridiplantae; Streptophyta; Magnoliopsida; Boraginales; Ehretiaceae. The record is from RNAcentral.
AAAYGACUCUBGGCAACGGAUAUCUCGGCUCUCGCAUCGAUGAAGAACGUAGCGAAAUGCGAUACUUGGUGUGAAUUGCAGAAUCCCGUGAACCAUCGAGUCUUUGAACGCAAGUUGCGCCCGAAGCCUUHGGGCCGAGGGCACGUCUGCCUGGGCGUCACG